UAUCAAUAAGCGGAGGAAAAGAAACCAACAGGGAUUGCCUCAGUAACGGCGAGUGAAGCGGCAACAGCUCAAAUUUGAAAUCUGGCCUCUUUGGGGUCCGAGUUGUAAUUUGUAGAGGAUGUUUCGGGUACCGCCUCGGUUUAAAUUUCUUGGAACAGAAUGUCAAAGAGGGUGAGAAUCCCGUCUUGGACCGGCGGUAGGGCCCAUGUGAAACUCCUUCGACGAGUCGAGUUGUUUGGGAAUGCAGCUCAAAAUGGGUGGUAAAUUUCAUCUAAAGCUAAAUAUUGGCCAGAGACCGAUAGCGCACAAGUAGAGUGAUCGAAAGAUGAAAAGCACUUUGAAAAGAGAGUUAAACAGUAUGUGAAAUUGUUGAAAGGGAAGCGCUUACAACCAGACUUGAGCGCGGCGGUUCCCCCUUCCUUUUGGUUGGGUUACUCCGUCGUGUCCAGGCCAACAUCGGUUUCGGGGGUCGGUUAAAGACCUUGGGAAUGUAUCUACCCUUCGGGCGUAGACUUAUAGCCCAGGGUGUCAUGCGGCCUCCCGGGACCGAGGAACGCGCUUCGGCUCGGAUGUUGGCGUAAUGGUUGUCAGCGACCCGUCUUGAAACACGGACCAAGGAGUCUAACAUCUAUGCGAGUGUUUGGGUGUCAAACCCGGAACGCGAAAUGAAAGUGAACGGAGGUAGGAAGCCUUGAGGCUGCACUAUCGACCGAUCCUGAUGUCUUCGGAUGGAUUUGAGUAAGAGCAUAGCUGUUGGGACCCGAAAGAUGGUGAACUAUGCCUGAAUAGGGUGAAGCCAGAGGAAACUCUGGUGGAGGCUCGCAGCGGUUCUGACGUGCAAAUCGAUCGUCAAAUUUGGGUAUAGGGGCGAAAGACUAAUCGAACCAUCUGGUAGCUGGUUCC
RNAcentral lists this ribosomal RNA (903 nucleotides) under Veronaea botryosa. Its description in RNAcentral is "LSU rRNA". It matches the Rfam family "Eukaryotic large subunit ribosomal RNA", at positions 41 to 958 of the family's 3401-position model. The record is from RNAcentral. Lineage: Eukaryota; Fungi; Ascomycota; Eurotiomycetes; Chaetothyriales; Herpotrichiellaceae.